UCCUACCAGAUGUAGAGCUCUGAUGGUACCAGCCUGUCACACACAUUCCUGCCUUCAUCACAACUGGAAGACACUCAGGACAAUCUCAUGGAAAAAUUAAGAAGCAACCACACAAUGGGAAGAUCUCCUACAGGAGCAGCUCCAACUGAUGUUGUUAACAAGGCUCUGGGAGGGAUAAAAGGUCUGAAACGUCCAAGACACACCACAAACUUCCUCUGGGAAUGAAGUCACAGCAAGAUGGGACUUUUUCUCUUGAGAAGUGUCAUUAAUUUUAUAACAUAAGCACUCAUCAGCCUUUCUUUUGGAUACCAUUGACAAUUUCUCCAAUUUCUCCAUCACAAACAACGUUGCUCCACAUGAGCGUCCAAACACCACCAGCCUUCAGGAAACUUUACCUUCACAACGUCUGCUCAGCUGUUGACCUGAUUUCACAAGCAGGGAGGACAAACUCAGGAAGAAAAACACAAAAUUUCAAGUCUUCUAUGAGAUUCGUGGAAAUUUUGGGAGCAGUAGCCAAAACUACUCAUGACCAUCAGGUUGAACAGCACAACAAAUCUGGAGCUUCUGCUGAACACAGGGAAUUCAGGAUUAU
Long non-coding RNA from Corapipo altera (White-ruffed manakin), 592 nucleotides. RefSeq lists it as uncharacterized. Lineage: Eukaryota; Metazoa; Chordata; Aves; Passeriformes; Pipridae. The record is from RefSeq and is a predicted model, not a curated record. The transcript is spliced from 3 exons.